GGUUGAUUCUGCCUGACGUGGACGCUUGUUUUAAGGAUUUAGCCAUGCAUGUCUAGCGAAGCGCAAGCGGAGCGGCGAACGGCUCAGUAAUACAGUUAUGAUCUACUCACACAACAAAUGGAUAACCACGGUAACCUGUGGCUAAUACAACGAAGAUAUGUCGGCAGUGAGUUGCGAUAUUGACGGUGAUUGAGUUUCUGGCCUAUCAGCUAGUGAAGGUAGGGUAAGGGCCUACCUUGGCGAUAACGGGUAACGGGGGAUCAGGGUUUGAUUCCGGAGAAGGAGCCUGAGAGAUGGCUGCUACGUCCAAGGAUGGCAGCAGGCGCGAAAAUUACCCAAUCUCCGAUUUGGAGGAGGUAGUGACGAAACGUAUGCGAGAGAGGGCAGAGCAAAUAUCUGCCCAAGAGCAACUGGAGGGCAAGUCUGGUGCCAGCAGCCGCGGUAAUUCCAGCUCCAGUAGCGUCCAUGUGUGUUGCUGCAGUUAAAACGUUCGUAGUCGUGUGAGGCGCUUAUGAACUUCAUAAGAGCCACUGUCCUGUGGGUAAAUGUGCCGUAUCAAAUGUCACACUGCCACAGCAGCAAGCACAGCAGGAGCAGUUGAGGGCGAUGGUAUUCCUGUGCGAGAGGUGAAAUUCGAUGACCACUGGAGGACCGACAGAAGCGAAAGCGUUCGUCAUGGAUGUUUCCGAUGAUCAAGGACGUAAGCCGGAGUAUCGAAGGCGAUUAGAAACCGUCGUAGUUCCGGCCGUAAACGAUGCCGACCCACAGGGAUGCACGUCUUUGUGUGGAGAAAUUAGAGUUUAUGGGCUCUGGGGAUAGUACAGGCGCAAGCCCGAAACUUUAAGAAAUUGACGGAAGGACACCACAAGGAGUGGAGUAUGCGGGUUAAUUUGACUCAACGCGGGACAACUUACCAGGGCCUGAUGGAGGAGCGAAGCAAGCGUUAUCGCGGUUGCUGAUUCUUCAGCGAGUGGUGCAUGGCCGUUCCAACACGUGGGGUGACCUGUCUGGCUAAUUCCGAUAACGCGUGAGACCCUCGUGCCGUGAAAAUGGCAGACGAUCACCGACGAGGUGAAGGAAGCAGGGGGCGAUAACAGGUCCGUGAUGCCCUUAGAUGUUCUGGGCUUCACGCGUACUACAUUGCGCAGGGUUUGAUUACGUGAAACCUGCGCGAGGUCGGGAUAGACAGUUGUAAAUCUGUCUUGAACGAGGAAUUCCUAGUAACAGCGAGUCACUAACUUGUUGUGAAUGCGUCCCUGUCCUUUGUACACACCGCCCGUCGUUAUCUAAGAUGGAUGUGGGGAUGAAGAGAACACAGUUUUUUGAAUCUCUGCAACUAGAUUGGAUACAAGUCGUAACAGGGUAACCAC
RNAcentral lists this ribosomal RNA (1370 nucleotides) under Caudospora simulii. RNAcentral's name for it is "SSU rRNA". It matches the Rfam family "Microsporidia small subunit ribosomal RNA". The record is from RNAcentral. Lineage: Eukaryota; Fungi; Microsporidia; Caudosporidae.